UAAUUUUGAUAAAAUUAUUAAAGAUAUAAUAAAUUUUAUAUUAUACAAGUGAAAAAUCAUAUCAACAUAGCUUAAAAGCUACAGCAGCUAGUGUUUACCAAACACUUUAGUGCUGUAGCUUUUAAGCUACAGCUGCCCAACCUCAAUCCCAAACGCACCCUAAGUUGAUAAUUACUUGAUUUUCGCAUUCACCCGAUUUCUAUCGGUUAUGGCCUAUGGGCUUGAACUAAAAGGAUUAGUUCAAUAAAACAAAAUGAUGGUUAGGACUUAAAUAUCGCAAGAACCAUUUCAAGAAUUUUUUUUUUAAUAAUUAAAGGUUGGGGAAGUUGUCACAUUAUGGUUUCCUUAUCACAUUAUGGCUUCCAAUUUUUUAUUAUUGAUUGUAGUUUUCAAUUGAUUCUUAGCAUGCACUCUCAUGCAAUUUAGAUAUAAAUACUAGAGAUGAUUAUAACUUUCAAUACAAGCAAAUUUAUUUAUUGCUACGUAUAUGGGUUUUAAUACAUUAUUAUGGUGUUAAAGAAACGAAGUGUGCUUUGCUAUCCAACUGGCUUAAUGGUUAUUAAUUGUCCUCUUAAAAAUAUAAUUUUUCAAGGCCAUAACCCCACUUCACAUGGGUUAAAAUCUUUUAUCUUCAUCAACCUAGAUUCUUGCAUUCAUCUUUGGCUCCACCACCAACAACAAGAAACAGAAAUAAAAGUUUUCCUUUUUAAAAUAAUUACAAGUGAAAGAGAGCUGCAAAUUUCUUGGAAAAUUUUGAUGUGUAAGAUUGACCUUGCUUGUUACAUAUUGUAUAGAUAAUUAAACGCGUUUUGACAUCUAAUUGUAAUCAUUGCAUGCCCAUCAGCCAUGAUUCCAAAUGUCAAUAAUUAAACUCAUUUGCAGUUGUUUAUGAUGUUGAGUUGAGAGAAAAAGUUUUACCUUAUUAGUUAAGAAUUAAGAGAAGUGACUGGAGGUAAAUGCCCUUUUCACAUUUCCUUAUGAUUAUCUUUGAGCAUAACAAGCCUGGUCUGUAUACCUUUCAACAUUAAAUAUAAAUAUAUAUAUAAAAAAAAAUACCAAGUUAGGGGUAUUGAGAUUUCUCUUUAAAUAAAAGCGAAUAAACACAUGUGAUCAUUCUUCUUUAUAAAUGGAUAAAAUAAACUCUAAUUAUUAUGUAAAAGUGAUUAUGAACAUUAGACUUCAAGUUAAUUGUGGUCUCACUAAUAAUCACUUUCAUUUUGGUGAUUUAAUGAUAAUAAAUGAAUGUAAUUAAACAUCAAUGGCAAAUGGCAAUAGGCACCUCUACUAUAGCAAUAAGAAAGAUUUGAAUGACUUUAUUUAAAGCACAAAUUAUUUUAAAAUUCCACAAAUACCGGAUUAAUUGAAAAUCAACCUAUUCCUUCUUCGUUUUGUUUCCUAAUUCAGCGGUACCUUUAGCACAUGUCUCGCCGAUGAUGUACAAUAAUUAUAAUGAAAGAGUAUGUAGAGGAGUUGGUCAAAUCCAAUGGAAACAAGUACAAAAAUACUGUAACAUUCUUCAAGGAAAAUUAUCCUUUUUUUCUUUUCCCCCCUUGGUUCAUUGCAUAUGAAACAUAUUGCCUUAAAUUUGUUGUUAUACUGUCAUAUUUUAUUUAUGUACAUAUAAUUUUAUUAUCUAAAUUUUAAACUAAGUAUAGAAAUAAACAAAUGUAAUGUUCCAAAAAGAGGAAUCAUCUUUUGACAAGUUUCAACUCACAAUCAUUUAUUCAAUCAUAUUGUAUCUAAAGCAAAUGAUGAGUUCGUAUGCUCUGCAUGUUCUGAAUUUGGAAUGUUUGUGCCAAAGAAAUUAAAAUAUUGAUUUUAGCAAAAUGUCAAAUUAAAACAAUGACCUAAAUAUUACUUGUUUUAGUUAAAGGGGCAAAUUUCCUGACAUUCUUAUGGUUUAGUUUGGUCUAAUUCCCUAUUAAAUCCUUUGCUUGU
This 1938-nucleotide long non-coding RNA is filed under the name Citrus x clementina. RNAcentral describes it as "Citrus clementina (C. clementina) long non-coding RNA (CCLE_LNC000239)". Lineage: Eukaryota; Viridiplantae; Streptophyta; Magnoliopsida; Sapindales; Rutaceae. The record is from RNAcentral.